UACGUAGGGUGCGAGCGUUAAUCGGAAUUACUGGGCGUAAAGCGUGCGCAGGCGGUUUGCUAAGACCGAUGUGAAAUCCCCGGGCUUAACCUGGGAACUGCAUUGGUGACUGGCAGGCUAGAGUAUGGCAGAGGGGGGUAGAAUUCCACGUGUAGCAGUGAAGUGCGUAGAGAUGUGGAGGAAUACCGAUGGCGAAGGCAGCCCCCUGGGCCAAUACUGACGCUCAUGCACGAAAGCGUGGGGAGCAAACAGG
This 253-nucleotide ribosomal RNA is filed under the name uncultured bacterium. RNAcentral's name for it is "partial 16S ribosomal RNA". It matches the Rfam family "Bacterial small subunit ribosomal RNA", at positions 524 to 776 of the family's 1533-position model. The record is from RNAcentral.